GGGCUGAGAGGAUGACCAGCCACACUGGAACUGAGACACGGGCCAGACUCCUACGGGAGGCAGCAGUGGGGAAUAUUGCGCAAUGGGCGCAAGCCUGAUGCAGCCAUGCCGCGUGUAUGAAGAAGGCCUUCGGGUUGUAAAGUACUUUCAGCGAGGAGGAAGGCGUUAAGGUUAAUAACCUUGUGGAUUGACGUUACUCGCAGAAAAAACACCGGCUAACUCCGUGCCAGCAGCCGCGGUAAUACGGAGGGUGCGAGCGUUAAUCGGAAUUACUGGGCGUAAAGCGCACGCAGGCGGUCUGUCAAGUCGGAUGUGAAAUCCCCGGGCUCAACCUGGGAACUGCGUUCGAAACUGUGAGGCUAUAGUCUUGUAGAGGGGGGUAGAAUUCCAGGUGUAGCGGUGAAAUGCGUAUAGAUCUGGAGGAAUACCGGUGGCGAAGGCGGCCCCCUGUACAAAGACUGACGCUCACGUGCGAGAGCGUGGGGAGCACACAGGAUUAGAUACCCUGUGAGUCCACGCCGUAUACGAUGUCGACUUGUAGGCUGUGCCCUUGAGGAGUGUGUUUCGCAGCUAACGCGUUAAGUCGACCGCCUGUGGAGUACGGCCGCAAGGGUAAAACUCACAUGAGUUGACGGGGGCCCGCACAAGCGGUGGAGCAUGUGUUUUAAUUCGAUGCGACGCGAAAAACUCACCUACUCUUGACAUCCACAGAACUUAUCAGAGAUGCUUUGGUGGCCUU
RNAcentral lists this ribosomal RNA (739 nucleotides) under Enterobacter sp. Its description in RNAcentral is "bacterial SSU rRNA". It matches the Rfam family "Bacterial small subunit ribosomal RNA", at positions 289 to 1021 of the family's 1533-position model. Lineage: Bacteria; Pseudomonadati; Pseudomonadota; Gammaproteobacteria; Enterobacterales; Enterobacteriaceae. The record is from RNAcentral.